GUUCCCAGCCACUGUGGACAGAGUAGCUGCCGUCCAGUGGUGGCCUCUGCCUUGAGGUUGAGAGCAAUGGAGCCAGCGUACCCCAGACUGAACCACUGACACCCGGAGCCCACACAAACUUCUCUCCUGCUGAGGGCUUCUUGCCAGCUGUUCACAGAGGACUGGGGGCCCUCCCGGCACCCUGUGCGGGACGACGCCACUCGUCACUCAGCCUGCUCUUCCUGCUGUCUUGUAAUCGACUGUUACCAGCAGGAGCGAAGGCAGGCUUUGGGGGAUGUUCUUUAGUGAGUGAAACCUCACACGAGGUGGCCCCGAGGGAAGGAUUGCUGUCUUUGUCACCUGGGCGUGGGUGGACCAGCUCCCCCUCAGAAGACCCUGCCUGGACACGUGUGCUCCUGAGACACCUCUCAGACUUUAAGAGGGAUUUCUUUAAAAUGCUGGAAGGAGUGUUCAAUGAUAGGAUAAAACUCCACGAAAAUACGAGGCCUGCAACUUCUCCAGGAACGGUAUCUUCAGCACAUCUGGGAAGCAUCUAAACAUUCAGAAAGCUGCUGACUCGAAAUCGGAGCCGGAGAUCCUUGGAGGGCACGGUGACCUUGCUGAUUAGUACAGGAACCAGGACGUUAGGAAGUGAGCCCGGCCGCAGGAUUUGAGCCACAGUGACCUGCACCCCUCCAGGCCCUGGGGCACCACCCACCACCUCCAGGCAGGCGGCCAGCCUCCCUCUGCAGCAUUCAGCGUGGUCAAGAGAAGAUCUCGUUGUGAGGUCAGGCACCAGUUACCAAAAGGAGGCAGAUUAAAAGGCCGCGGGAUGGGGCUUUAUGGAGAUUUCGCUCCGGGGAGACCCUCCAGACCAACGGGGCGGGUCCAGGGAGAAGCUCAAGGGGCUGACCAGACUGGCAUUUUUAUGGGGUUUAGGGCAGGAAGGGAGGGCUUGGAACAGGAAAAGGGGGGUUUUAGAGUUCCUUGUCCUGCUGACUGACAGGCCGUUCUGUCGGCACCUGAUUGGUGGUUCUUUCGGCCCAGGUUGCUUGGUGCUUUGUUCCUCAGCCAACCUCAAAACCGACCUGACACUAAGGACUGUCGUUGGGUCCUGGGCUCAGAGAAGCCUUGUCUUACUGGUCCCCACAGCCCGAGUGUGGGUCACGGCUCAAAUGGGCCUUAAUUUCACUCCAUCUCUUUAUUGUGUGCCAUGUUGAUUGUAGUCACCAAGAGCCACCGUGGUUAUAUAAAUCUGAGUUAAUUAGAAGCCAGUUCCACAUGUCUUUGCAUGACUGUCAUCCCGUAAGGACAGCAGUCACACUGGAUGGGGGGCUACCCUGCUCCAGCAUGUCCUCAUCUUAGCAGAUGACACUUGCUAAGCUUCUAUUUCUAAAAAGGUCACAUUCUGAGAUGCUGGGGACUCGGACUUCAAGGUAUUUCAAUUUUUGUGGGAAGACACUAUUCAACCAGAAAGCCCCCGACUCCCCGACUGCUCUGCUGGGUCCCCCACGCCUGGCCUGGCUCCUCUGCUGGGCUCCCUUCCUCCAGCCCUCGACUGGUUUGGCUGUGGGAGCUCCCAGGGGAAGACCAGGAGUUGCAUGGCCACCAGGUCAGCCCCCCCUGCCCUCCCUGCACCAUGCUGAGGUCCAGGCAGCCCGUGUCCGUGCCUGGCUCUGCUGGGCCUUUUGCCUGCCUGGUUCCAGCUCUUGCCGGAUGCUGGUCAUGUUGCAUCCCUCAGGUCUGGAUGCGGAUGACUUUGUCCCUGGGUUUCUCAGCAGCCUUUUGUCUUCCUGCAUGCCCACGAGUCUCUCCAGUUCCCCUGUUAACUCUCCUGCCACCUGCUGAGUGUUUCCGAUGGGGACCUGGUGCCUCUGGGGAGCUGUGCACUGCUCCCCCUUCCCUGAGGGUGGCCUUGGGGUUCCCGUAUGACCAGUGCCUUUUCCCAAACACAAAACAGAAGGCAGUCUUCCCUUGUCCUCCCCCAGGGCCACCCCAAUGGCUUCUGCCCCUCCCCCAGGCCUCGAAGGCCCCUCACUUGCUGUGUCCAGGGCCUGACCCCACUGGUUCCUCCAGCCAUUCAGCCGUGGCUUGGUCCCUGCCACUCACAGAAGCAGCCCUGCUUUCUGCUUGUGAAGGGCCAGACGCCCUUCGUGUCCCCGAGUGUGUCCUGGUCCUGCUGCUCCAUGGACGUUGCUUCUAUCCCCAUUUCUCACCACCCCCCUCCAUGGCCUUGACCUGCUUCCUGCUGCUUCCCUCCAGUUCUCUGUCUCCACAGAGUCCCUCUGGGCCUCAGGCCCAGGCUUCAGCCAGAGCAGCCAACCUCCUGCAGUUCUGCAGGUGGAAGUCUGGGAUCAGGUGGUGGCGGAGUGGCUUUGUCCUGAGCCUCACCUUUAUGACCUCUUUGACCUUCAUCACCUCCUA
Molecule: long non-coding RNA, 2403 nt
Organism: Ictidomys tridecemlineatus (thirteen-lined ground squirrel)
Lineage: Eukaryota; Metazoa; Chordata; Mammalia; Rodentia; Sciuridae
Source: RefSeq, a predicted model, not a curated record